This 236-nucleotide unclassified non-coding RNA is filed under the name plant metagenome. Its description in RNAcentral is "partial contains small subunit ribosomal RNA, internal transcribed spacer 1, and 5.8S ribosomal RNA". The record is from RNAcentral.
UUUCCGUAGGUGAACCUGCGGAAGGAUCAUUACUGAGUGAGGGCCCCUCGGGGUCCAACCUCCCACCCGUGUUUAACGAACCUUGUUGCUUCGGCGGGCCCGCCUCACGGCCGCCGGGGGGCAUCUGCCCCCGGGCCCGCGCCCGCCGAAGCCACCUGUGAACGCUGUCUGAAGUAUGCAGUCUGAGACAAUUAUUAAAUUAAUUAAAACUUUCAACAACGGAUCUCUUGGUUCCC